This 837-nucleotide ribosomal RNA is filed under the name Triticum aestivum (bread wheat). Its description in RNAcentral is "partial small subunit ribosomal RNA". The record is from RNAcentral. Lineage: Eukaryota; Viridiplantae; Streptophyta; Magnoliopsida; Poales; Poaceae.
AUGUCGUGGUCGACGGUGGCGGAGGAGAAGACGACGUGGCGGGCAUCGGCGCGGUGCUGCCGCCUCAGGUUCUACGAGCGGCACCGCCAGCUCGUCGUCGAUGAGUACCUGCCGUACGGCAUGAGGUCACGUUCCGCAACCGUCCUUGCGGGCUCUACUCCAACAAGAAGGAGCUCAGCUACCAGCCUACCAAAGAUCACUGAUUCUAUCUUCAAAUGUCGAUCGACCAGCUCUAGGAGGGACGAGGUGUGGAGCAGUCCAACUUCCCCUGUAUACUCACAUGAUCACUGGACACUCUGUUUCUUAGAGAAGAUGCUGCAACAUGAUUCAGCAAAUUGCUUUUGGAUGUUGUUAUUGUUACUGAAAUUUUGUGUGGGUGGACGUCUGGCUGCAUAUCUGCAUCACCACCCUGAGUUCUCCCAACGCAGCCCGGAGCCGUUCAACUAUGCAGCCCUGGGCCGUUCAACGAUGGAGUCGACGGCCGUUCAUGAACACAGCACCCCGGAUCCUGCUCCCCACCAUCCAGUUCAACUUCUGCUGAAUCCGCGGUCCAUGGGAAGAAAAUUGAGCUAUGAAGCUGAGCUUGUUGUUAUGCCUCUGAUCGUCCACCUCUUUCCUGUAGGUGUUGAUCCUGGUCACCCAGUAAGAACCAAAAUGACGACAAGGACACACCACUCUGCCUCCUCUGUUUUCGGUGACGACACACCGCUGUUAUGGUCGAUUAGCCUUUUGGGUUUAGAUGUACGAGAACUUAAUGGGAGGUCGCGCGAGGUGGCUCGAGCAGGCGGUGCAGCAGUUCGUUGCAGCCCCUCGAUGCCGUUGAACUCCUGCAUCUAG